Molecule: long non-coding RNA, 269 nt
Organism: Xiphophorus hellerii (green swordtail)
Lineage: Eukaryota; Metazoa; Chordata; Actinopteri; Cyprinodontiformes; Poeciliidae
Exons: 2
Source: RefSeq, a predicted model, not a curated record
AUCAGUACACACAGAGAAAUACAGAGACACAAACACAGUUUCAGACAAACGUAAGAGACAAACGGGGGAAUUAAAAAUAAAAUGCCGGCUUCAAAAAUGCAUCCAUUUUCCAACUUGCAAAGUUAGUCCUCUGAGUGAUACAACUCGAAACCCAAUAUAAUCCAAUAUAAGUCCUAUUUCAAGAGCGAUUCAACCCCUUUUUCAAUGUUUGACCAGAGAAAAAUUAAUUUAACAUACUUUUCAAGAUUUAACCGAUGAAUAGAGCGAUU